UGUUGGUGGUAUUGGUGGGACGUGCGAUAUAUCUGUAUCUACCUCACCUGAAUACUACCCCCGAAAUACCUUUUUGCGGUGCAAUCCGCGUCGGAUGAGUUGCUGCGGCGAUGGAGUUCCCAGCCUUCAAUCUUUAAACAUUACUGCAAUUGGAUGGCUCGUGGAUCGAUCAGGACACAGGUCAUCGGAGCAUGACAUUAUGAAUUUCAUUCCUUUUACCAUUGGAAAACUUAGCUGGACUGAGAGGGGCUUGUUGGACGGUGGGGAGACAGGAGAAAGCUGGUUCAGCACUGGCACUUCUGAUUGUCGGUUCGGGCCCACUUAAUGGGUGAAAGCUGAUGAUUCAACAGGUUGAUGUUUCAGUGUAGAUUUUCUGCUCCACCUGCUGCUAUUUGACCAUCUACGAAUGUGCAAUUGAACUUGAAAACCCAAUUUUUUUACAAUCUAGUCAGGGUUGUCUGCAAGGAAAUAUAUUCAGGAUGUUCGCACAACAAGCUUGAAGUUGGAUGAGUUCUUUCGGCCGUUGACUUGACACGAGGGGCUGGUGGUAUUCUAGAAACGAAAUCGGCAGCCACUUUGAAGGCUAUAUUGUGCGGCAUGGAGGACCGUUUACCUAUUUAACUGUUCUUUUCUCGCUUCGGCACCAACUCGUGGUGGAUGGAUGGACGCCUCGUCUGCAGUUCCGAGUCCAGUGUCAUUGCAGCAUUGCGGGCUACUCAACAUCUGCCCACAUCGCAGAUGACGUUACGAAGCAAUUUAACCUAACAAACUCAUCCACUACGGCUCACAAUGAUUGUUCAGAAGAAUAAUAUUCAACGUUCUCAAGUGGGAAAUUGAAGCGUAGUGGUACACCGCAGCCGACCAUGUUUGUUCCCAAACGACAGAUUAACAGUAAGUUUGUUAAUUUAGCUUGUGUGUUACAAGUUGACAAGGUCGAUAAGACUCCGCUCUGGUCCAAAGCAUGUCUAAUUAUUUUCAACGGUGGUGCACACCUUGUUAGACUUACAUCGAAACUUUCUGCUUGUCUGAAGCUUCAUGAUGAGAGCACAGUGCACGUGCGUUUGCUUUUUAAACUGUCCGCCAUCUGAGCACCACGUAGUUCUCGACAUCCCUUACCGACGUCCACCAACAGUCAUUUAAAUGCAUCCGCCGGGCAUACGGGGCGUCACGAAAUGAUAAUCAGAAUCCAGCCUAGAAAUUUUUGUAGUACAAGCCCGAAUUUUAUACUGUCUAGAGUCGGUAAGCAGAUGUCGGAUCGGUAGGGAGUUGUAGGUAGACCUUAUGAUCUGCCAGGAAUGCAAUAUUGUUAUGAGAUCUCUGUAUGGUCAUGCGAUGACGUCGAAUCCUUGAUAUUAGCGGUGCCGAUUGAUCAGCAUUAUCGAUACUUGCGGUUUCUUUACUUAUCCUCGACAUAUUCUCAAUAUGCGUAUCUCAAAAUGCAGAUUUGAGGCCCAAUGCCACAUUCUGUAUUCUCAAGUUUGUCACAUUCGGUAGAAUAUCUCUCUUCCUAUUACAUACAAUAAACAGUUGACUUGUUUCAACCGACA
Non-coding RNA from Physcomitrium patens, 1547 nucleotides. The record is from RefSeq and is a predicted model, not a curated record. Lineage: Eukaryota; Viridiplantae; Streptophyta; Bryopsida; Funariales; Funariaceae.